Molecule: unclassified non-coding RNA, 231 nt
Filed under: Hevea brasiliensis (rubber tree)
Lineage: Eukaryota; Viridiplantae; Streptophyta; Magnoliopsida; Malpighiales; Euphorbiaceae
Source: RNAcentral
GGGUAAACCUGAAUAUACAUAAAGAGACUCAAAACCUCUCAGUUUUCGACAUGAUCCUCGGGCCAUUUCUUUCUUCUUCUUUCCUCUGCCAAACUUGGUGGUGGGGUGGCACCGACACCUCCAAGUUUGGCAGAGCUUACAGUGGCGUGUGAUCUCAAUCUAUUAAUAUUAUCUGAGCUCUCUCUCUCCCUCCCUCUUUCUCUCCACUUUUUGUGGCCCAUGCUUAAAGGU